GUUUAAAUAAUUAGUAUAACCAUACAAAACAAUGGCUACUACAAUAAACAAUAAACUAUUAAAAAUUAUUACUUGUUUUACAAACAUCAGUUAGAUACCUAUUUAUCAUUUAUAAAUAAUUUGAUUAAUUUAUUUUUGAAACUAUAUAAUAAGUUUUUAGAAUAAAUAAUAGACCAUUUACAAAAUAUUUCCACUGAUUUUGAAAAUAAACAAGUCCCCCCUCGGGGAAGAGGAAGAACAAAAAAGAGGUAGUUGAAUGAGGAUGGCUUAUAUAUAUGUAUAUAACAUGAUGUAGAUGAUUGAGGCAAGUGGAAGUUUAGGACGAGAUGGUUGGGAUAAAGGUAAUGAAGAAGAAGACACUGUUUUAAUAUAAUUUAUAGAAUAUGACAAAUGUAAACAAGUUUAUGAGAAAAAUUGUUUUGCAAACAUGUCUAGGUGCUUAAAUUUAAAACCUGUAACAUGGUUUUCUAUUUUAUGUAGGGACCUAUUUAAAAGACAACAAUGACCAAUACCACUGCAAUAUUUUUUAAAUUUGUUUACAUAAUUUAUCUUAAAAAUACGUUAAACCUAACUUACGGGAGCUGAAGUACUCAUAUCAAAUUUAAAACCAAAACCUUAUUUUAUAUAAUGAAAAAAAGAACAUUCAUUUUUAACUAUUUUUUUACAAAACUGAAUUCUCCUGUUUUUAAAAUAUGAGUAUGUUAAAAUCUUCAUAGUGAAAUUCAUUUAAAUUGUGAAUUUUAAUGAAAUACAUUAUAAUAUGGACAUCUAUUUCAUUAAAUAGACAAUUCCUAUAUUUUAUACUUUUAAACUAUCCAAAAAUAUAAUAAUAAAUUACCUAUAUUAUAUUUUUAAUAAAUAAUAUGUAUUAUUUAUAAAUGAGAAAAACCAUAAUUUUCUAUAUCAAUAAUGACAAUAAUAAUUACAAUUAAAUUUUGGUAACUCCCCAUCCAAUUAUAAAACUAAUUUCUCCUAUUGGAUACCAAUUUAUUUCCAGAGUUGUUCAAAAAUAAAAGGUAAAAACUAUUUUCCAAUCAAGUAGAUGUAUGUUUUAAAAAUAACAUAA
Non-coding RNA from Cinara cedri, 1066 nucleotides. NCBI's taxonomy places the organism in Eukaryota, Metazoa, Arthropoda, Insecta, Hemiptera, Aphididae. The record is from the annotation of a GenBank genome assembly.